RNAcentral lists this ribosomal RNA (245 nucleotides) under uncultured bacterium. Its description in RNAcentral is "partial 16S ribosomal RNA". It matches the Rfam family "Bacterial small subunit ribosomal RNA", at positions 524 to 768 of the family's 1533-position model. The record is from RNAcentral.
UACGAGGGGGGCAAGCGUUAUUCGGAAUUAUUGGGCGUAAAGGGCGCGUAGGCGGCUUGGUAAGUCAAAGGUGAAAUCCCUCGGCUCAACUGAGGAACUGCCUUUGAAACUGCCUGGCUCGAGGCCGGGAGGGGGUAGCGGAAUUCCCAAUGUAGCGGUGAAAUGCGUAGAUAUUGGGAGGAACACCGGUGGCGAAGGCGGCUACCUGGACCGGUUCUGACGCUGAUGCGCGAAAGCGUGGGGAG